Molecule: ribosomal RNA, 601 nt
Filed under: uncultured bacterium
Lineage: Bacteria
Description: bacterial SSU rRNA
Rfam family: Bacterial small subunit ribosomal RNA
Source: RNAcentral
AGUCGAGCGGCGCACGAGUAGUUUCUACUUGGUGGCGAGCGGCGGACGGCUGAGUAACGCGUGGGAACGUGCCCCAAAGUGAGGAAUAACUGCCCGAAAGGGUAGCUAAUGCCGCAUAUGAUCUUCGGAUUAAAGUAUUUAUUACGCUUUGGGAGCGGCCUGCGUCCGAUUAGGUAGUUGGUGAGGUAAAGGCUCACCAAGCCCACGAUCGGUAGCUGGUCUGAGAGGAUGACCAGCCAGACUGGAACUGAGACACGGUCCAGACUCCUACGGGAGGCAGCAGUGAGGAAUCUUCCACAAUGGGGGAAACCCUGAUGGAGCAACUCCGCGUGCAGGAUGAAGGCCUUCGGGUCGUAAACUGCUUUUAUGAGUGAAGAAUAUGACGGUAACUCAUGAAUAAGGGUCGGCUAACUACGUGCCAGCAGCCGCGGUCAUACGUAGGACCCAAGCGUUAUCCGGAGUGACUGGGCGUAAAGAGUUGCGUAGGUGGUUAGUAAAGUGAAUAGUGAAAUCUGGCGGCUCAUCCGUACAGGCUAUUAUUCAAACUCACUAACUCGAGAAUGGUAGAGGUAACUGGAAUUUCUAGUGUAGGAGUGAAAUC